CCACAUUCUUGCUGUGCUCUACUGGU
Molecule: non-coding RNA, 26 nt
Filed under: Mus musculus (house mouse)
Lineage: Eukaryota; Metazoa; Chordata; Mammalia; Rodentia; Muridae
Source: RNAcentral